UGGGGAAUAUUGCACAAUGGGCGAAAGCCUGAUGCAGCAACGCCGCGUGAGUGAUGAAGGCCUUCGGGUUGUAAAGCUCUGUCUUUUGGGACGAUAAUGACGGUACCAAAGGAGGAAGCCACGGCUAACUACGUGCCAGCAGCCGCGGUAAUACGUAGGUGGCAAGCGUUGUCCGGAUUUACGGGCGUAAAGGAUGCGUAGGCGGAUUUUUAAGUGAGAUGUGAAAACCCUAAGCUUAACUUGGGGACUGCAUUUCAUACUGGAAAUCUAGAGUGCGGGAGAGGAGAAUGGAAUUCCUAGUGUAGCGGUGAAAUGCGUAGAGAUUAGGAAGAACACCAGUGGCGAAGGCGAUUCUCUGGACCGUAACUGACGCUGAGGCAUGAAAGCGUGGGUAGCAAACAGGAUUAGAUACCCUGGUAGUCCACGCCGUAAACGAUGAGUACUAGGUGUAGGAGGUAUCGACCCCUUCUGUGCCGCAGUUAACACAAUAAGUACUCCGCCUGGGAAGUACGAUCGCAAGAUUAAAAACUUAAAUGAAUUGACGGGGGUCAUAGCUGUUUCCU
This 563-nucleotide ribosomal RNA is filed under the name uncultured bacterium. RNAcentral's name for it is "partial 16S ribosomal RNA". It matches the Rfam family "Bacterial small subunit ribosomal RNA", at positions 355 to 938 of the family's 1533-position model. The record is from RNAcentral.